This 30-nucleotide non-coding RNA is filed under the name Rattus norvegicus (Norway rat). Lineage: Eukaryota; Metazoa; Chordata; Mammalia; Rodentia; Muridae. The record is from RNAcentral.
UAGGAGAUGGUUCUGCCUUCAGGCAGAGAA